UCCUCGCGUUCAUUUUUCCCCUAGACGUUCAAAUAUAGUCAUUUUACAUCCAUUUAUAUUAGGAUAAUUAGUUAAGUCGAAAUUCUGUAAAGAAUUGGCGUUAAAUGACCGCGAAUGCAACACGGCGUAAAUAAAAACGGGACGAAAGAAAACAAAUAGCUGAGGUUCCUUGUAAUAAAAGCGAGGAAGAAACGGCGAGCUGGAGAUGAUGAAGGCGCUUGAAUCGGGUCGUCAUACCUCUAUUUCUAACUGAGCUGAAGUCGGGGAGAACCAGAUAUCCAACAUGGACUAACACCAUCCUGGAUCCUUCUUUGUUGUGAGUCCAGCCAGCGAGACAGAUGGUCCAUGGAAAUGAUCCGCUCCAGUUGCCCGCACAUUCAAACGGACAGGCUGCUCUGCCGCACACAGGGGCCGGGCAGCCAAUCACUGGACCCGGCAAACCGCGACCCCUUCGGCUUUGACAGCCGGAUCCUCCAAUGGCGUCAGCGCCGAGGUGGGAGGCUUUUAUUUUGGAAAUCCCGCUUAGUUUUUAUGUUUUUCUGUCAUAAAGAAUCGUGCACCUUAUGUUUUAGGAAAUUAAGAAAGCUAAAACAUAAAAACUGUUUUGUAACAAAUUAAGCCACAUACGGGCAAGUUAUGCAUGGACUAAUCUAAAAUGUAGACAUUUGUUUUAAUGCUUAUUUUGCAUUUUUAAACGUCUGCAAAAACAAAAAGCUUAUAACCCCCCCCAAAAAAA
Molecule: long non-coding RNA, 736 nt
Organism: Oryzias latipes (Japanese medaka)
Lineage: Eukaryota; Metazoa; Chordata; Actinopteri; Beloniformes; Adrianichthyidae
Source: RefSeq, a predicted model, not a curated record